UGAUGGGGGACCCGGGACUGGCCCCGUGGUGUCAGAGGCUGAGUAGGGGCUGGCUGGAGGCAGGAGGGCUGGGAGCCUGAAACUCUGAGAGCAACUCUAUCUCUGCACAGCUGGGAGACAGGAAAGCAUGAGGAGAAAGUGGGGGAUCUCUGGCUGGCAGCACCUCCAAGGGCCCCAUCCCUGGAGCUGAGCAUCUGGGCAGAGGUGCGCUCGGGGACCCCUGCCAGAGGGCUGCACACCUGGAUUGCCCUUGGACUCUUUCUUCCCCUGUGCAAACCUCACCAUAAACCUCUGAUGGGGAAAAAAACCUCCUAGGUGAGGGGAAACUUGGUCAGCAUGGCCUGGCCUCCAGCCCGCCGGGAGCCAGUGGUGUCCCAGGCCAGAGCAUCCCUAACGCCAGGGCUCAGCAGCUGCGCAGUGACAGAAAGGACCAGAAAGGGCUGGGAGGUUGUUAUGGAAACAGCCACAAAUUGGAUCAGUACUUGGCGCAAGGAGCAGUUUGUGUGACUGAUGUGGGAGCAGCGAAGCCCUCGCCCCUGCGUCCUCCUCCGAGCCCCGUGGGUGUGUUAGCUUCGCCCCCGCUCUCCCAACUGCACGCUUCUCGCAGCCCACGCCAGCUCCCUGCGUUCUGCCGAGCAGUUCCCGCACGAUCCUUCCCACUCGCAGCGCAGGGCUGCCCCCCAACAGGGCCCGUGAAGGGGCAAGCGGGAGAGUGCCUCCAGCGUGCCCCAGCCGUCCGCUGUGGCCGUGGAAGAGCAAACCCCAUGCGGGCUGCUCCGUCCAGCCCUGAGCGCCAGGGCAGCUCAGCUAUCCGUUUCCAAAGCAGCCCCUCUGCUGGCAGGGAAAGCAGCCUCUCCGAAGAAGCCAUAAACACUCGCUAAGUGGAUGAGCUGAUGAUUUUCUGGCCAAGAGACCAUGUUAAAACGCAAUAACCAGCAAAGCAGAUGAGCUCAUUGGAGAACAACGGCUCGGGGCUGUGCCAAGCCCGGGAGAGCAGGAACAGGGCAGCCCCUCUGCUCGCCCCAUCCUGCCCUCCUGCACUGCCCAGCUGCCCUGCGAGGCCCUGGCAGGCAAUCUGCCUGCAGCCACUGCAAACCUGGGCUGAAACUGCCAUGCCACCUCGUGUCCCCUCCGGGUUCAGCAUUCCUGGGAUUCCUCCAGUGCUGCAACAGAUUUCCUUGCUCCGUGUCCCAGGAGCUGCCCCCUGGGCUCGCCCAUCCUCCCUGCCCUGGGACAGGACAUCGCCAGCACUGCUCUCCCUACUCCAGGUGCGCCCAGGGCUGGAGGAGCUGGUGGUCUUGCUCUCUCCAAGCAUUUGUGUCCCUGGCAGCCAUUGGAGCCAGACACGGGGUGGGCGUAUGGCUCCAACCCCAGGUGCCUGAGCCCCAGAGCUUGGCAUCCCGGUGCCCAGCUAUGGCUGCGACACAGCCAGGCUCUUCUCCCGGCUCCAGAUCACUGCUCUGGGCCCUCCCAGCUGCUCACGGGAGGGAAAAUACAUAGCGGCUCAGCACCAGGGGCCUCCGACAGCCACCGCGUCACCAGCAGUGGACAAGCUGCCCACAGAGAGGGUUGGGCCCAGGGGACACAAGGACUCUAGUCCUGAUCACCGCAACAACCUGCACUGGCAGCGCCAGCCACCCAGAGCUUCCUCUGGCUUAGAAAAACUGAACACAUCUCGAAACUCAAGAGAGGCAACACAGUCCUGGACUGCCACCGUGUGCCAUGGUGCUGUCAAUCGUUUGUGUCAUUUAUGAGCCCAUCAGCGGAGACACUGGGGUGCAAGGUGUGGCACUGGCAUCUCCCCCCACCCCACUCACUGAAUCCCGCAGCACCUCUGCCCACUGGGCACCUUCCAUGGGGUCCCUGGAGGUACUCACUGUCCCAGUGCAAACCUGUGGCGAGGAAGAGGAGGACACAUCCAGUCCUAGGGCUGGGCAAGGUGCUGCCCGGGGAGCAGAGGGUACUGCACCCCCCCCAGGGCUCUGCCUGCUGUCACCCUCGGUGUGUCCUUGCGUGACAGGCGAUGGGGACCCCAGCCGGCCCCAUUUCGCCAUCCCCAUCGCUCAGCAUGUGUGAGUAGGAGCCAGAGGGAGCCAAGCAGGAGGCUCUGCCCAUCCUGGCCAUGCGGGGAAGCCCCAGC
Molecule: RNA transcript, 2140 nt
Organism: Cuculus canorus (common cuckoo)
Lineage: Eukaryota; Metazoa; Chordata; Aves; Cuculiformes; Cuculidae
Exons: 3
Source: RefSeq, a predicted model, not a curated record